RNAcentral lists this ribosomal RNA (1444 nucleotides) under Cylindrospermopsis raciborskii CS-508. Its description in RNAcentral is "bacterial SSU rRNA". It matches the Rfam family "Bacterial small subunit ribosomal RNA". Lineage: Bacteria; Bacillati; Cyanobacteriota; Cyanophyceae; Nostocales; Aphanizomenonaceae. The record is from RNAcentral.
UGCUUAACACAUGCAAGUCGAACGGGAUGCUUAGGCAUCUAGUGGCGGACGGGUGAGUAACGCGUGAGAAUCUGGCUCCAGGUCGGGGAUAACAGUUGGAAACGACUGCUAAUACCGGAUGUGCCGAGAGGUGAAAGAUUUAUUGCCUGGAGAUGAGCUCGCGUCUGAUUAGCUAGUUGGUGGUGUAAGGGACCACCAAGGCGUCGAUCAGUAGCUGGUCUGAGAGGAUGAUCAGCCACACUAGGACUGAGACACGGCCCAGACUCCUACGGGAGGCAGCAGUGGGGAAUUUUCCGCAAUGGGCGAAAGCCUGACGGAGCAAUACCGCGUGAGGGAGGAAGGCUCUUGGGUCGUAAACCUCUUUUCUCAAGGAAGAAGAAAGUGACGGUACUUGAGGAAUAAGCAUCGGCUAACUCCGUGCCAGCAGCCGCGGUAAUACGGAGGAUGCAAGCGUUAUCCGGAAUGAUUGGGCGUAAAGGGUCUGCAGGUGGAACUGAAAGUCUGCUGUUAAAGAGUUUGGCUUAACCAAAUAAAAGCGGUGGAAACUACAGAACUAGAGUGCGGUAGGGGCAAAAGGAAUUCCUGGUGUAGCGGUGAAAUGCGUAGAUAUCAGGAAGAACACCGGUGGCGAAAGCGUUUUGCUAGACCGUAACUGACACUGAGGGACGAAAGCUAGGGGAGCGAAUGGGAUUAGAUACCCCAGUAGUCCUAGCCGUAAACGAUGGAUACUAGGCGUGGCUUGUAUCGACCCGAGCCGUGCCGGAGCUAACGCGUUAAGUAUCCCGCCUGGGGAGUACGCACGCAAGUGUGAAACUCAAAGGAAUUGACGGGGGCCCGCACAAGCGGUGGAGUAUGUGGUUUAAUUCGAUGCAACGCGAAGAACCUUACCAAGACUUGACAUCCUGCGAAUCCCGGUGAAAGCUGGGAGUGCCUUAGGGAGCGCAGAGACAGGUGGUGCAUGGCUGUCGUCAGCUCGUGUCGUGAGAUGUUGGGUUAAGUCCCGCAACGAGCGCAACCCUCGUUUUUAGUUGCCAGCAUUAAGUUGGGCACUCUAGAGAGACUGCCGGUGACAAACCGGAGGAAGGUGAGGAUGACGUCAAGUCAGCAUGCCCCUUACGUCUUGGGCUACACACGUACUACAAUGCUACGGACAGAGGGCAGCAAGCCAGGGAUGGCAAGCGAAUCCAGAAACCGUAGCUCAGUUCAGAUCGAAGGCUGCAACUCGCCUUCGUGAAGGAGGAAUCGCUAGUAAUUGCAGGUCAGCAUACUGCAGUGAAUUCGUUCCCGGGCCUUGUACACACCGCCCGUCACACCAUGGAAGUUGGUCACGCCCGAAGUCAUUACCCCAACCGAAAGGAGGGGGAUGCCUAAGGUAGGACUGGUGACUGGGGUGAAGUCGUAACAAGGUAGCCGUACCAGAAGGUGCGGCUGGAUCACCUCCUUU